Molecule: long non-coding RNA, 4165 nt
Filed under: Bemisia tabaci
Lineage: Eukaryota; Metazoa; Arthropoda; Insecta; Hemiptera; Aleyrodidae
Description: lncRNA ENSSSA3NGG004052
Source: RNAcentral
UCGCGUGAGAAAAAUACUCAUUCAUAGCACAAUCAGGCAUCCUCGCUCGCGAACAUCAAUCGGCGGGAGUAACUAUAAAACGCAUGCCCCGUACACGUUCAUUCAUAAUUUUGUGCUUACUCCACACGUGCAAUCAUGGACCUCACAAAGCAGGCGAUAUACUUAACUGCUCUUGCAGCAACCUUCUGCAUUCUCUCAGUUGAAGCUGAGGAAAAGAUCGAGAAGAAAUCGGCCGAAACAGAAACCAAAAACGAUCUUCAGCCGGAGGCUUCAGCACGAUUCUUCGGCUAUGGAGAUAAUUACGGUAGCGGCUACGGUGGAUACGGCAAAUACGGCGGAUACGGUGGUUACGGCACCGGUUAUGGCACAGGAUACGGAGGCGGUUACGGAGGUGGUUACGGAGGCGGUUACGGAGGCUACGGUGGUAGCUACGGUGGAUACAGAGGUUACCCAGGUUACGGCAGUUACGGCGGCAGUAGUUACUACAACAGUGGAACCCCAGUUACAACAGGUACGGUGGUUACGGAGGCUAUGGAGGCUACAAUAACUACGGCGGCGGAUACGAAGCGAGUAUCUCGGCACCGGCUACGGAGGUGGAUACGGUGGAUACGGAGGUUAUAAUGGAUAUCGCGGAGGAUACGGUGGCUAUGGUGGCUACGGAAGCAACGGCGGUUACGGAAGUUACGGUGACUACAAUAGUUGGUAAAACUAACAGUUUUGACGAUAUGAACAAUUCUCUUCCAGGUCUCUGCGCUACAAGUUGCUAUUUACUGCCAUUUUUCGCAUUAUUCCUAAAAAUCACCAUUAGGGUAAAACUGUUAUUUUUGAUCAUUUCACAUGUGAAAGUAGGUAUUUCCUCCCCGAAAUUAUUUUUAACAGCUUUUCAUUAUUUUUAAACUGACGCUUGCAGUCUUUACUAGUCACUAUCAUCAAUGUUCACUCGCUCUCUUUCCCUCUUCUUCCCUCCCCUUAUGAAUGGUUAUUUUAAGAAAGUGCUUUGAGAUCUCCUAUGGCAUUUCGUCUUUGCUCCGCAGACUAUUCCGAAUGCAGAUCUACAAAGAUCCGAACCAGAGAAUGGAGACGAAGUUUUUUGUUCCUACCCUCUACAAAUUCACUAAAUUAUCACAAUAAUUUUAUUUUUUAACCAGCAGACUUGCUCUACAUCCUGUGGGAAGUCUCUCAUUCGGAACCUCUCAUUAAAUGUUGAAGGGUCCUCAAGGGGGCGAUUUUUUUCUUCUUCUUUUUUUCUUGCGAUUGCCAUUCUCACAAUUUCUCUACACUCUUGUGAACCACAAAAAAAUGAUCAAAAUUCGAACCAAACCUGUGAAUCUAUAUUAGAUUUAAUUUAACAUGCUUUUCACAUCGUACUUGUAGCGUUCAUACAUCGUUUCAUCGCUUUUCUGUGUUCAACAUUAGGUUUAUUUUUUGUAACGCUAUUCCUUUUGUAAAUUUUAGUUACCAAUUGUGAAUAAAUUGUCUAAUUUAUAUUUUCCAUUGUUAUUAUUGCCUCCAUGCAGUGCAUGUGUCAAAAUGUCAAACUUGUGUUUUAAUGUAAUCAGGGCCAGAUUAGCUCUGGGGGGGGGGGGUUUGUAUGCUUGCAGGUAAAAGAGACCGCACGUUGUGGGUUGUAUACUUCGUACAUUGAAGGCGGUUUACGUUUCCAAGUAUACGAAGGGUCCCAUGCCCUCACUUUGGGUCCAGGAGAUAAAGGAAAUCCUGACUCAUGGGCCUUGAGGCCUCUGUGAAAAGAGCUCUGGUUUGUGAGGGGCCGCAAAAAUCAUAAUUCCUGAAGUCCGUAAAAAUUUCAGCCUCAGAUUCUCCAGGACUCUAAUAUUACGGGCAAAAACUUUACGGGCCAUGACCUCUGAAAUCCUAGUUUCAGGACCUCUCCAAUCCUCCAAAAUUUCUGAGCCUCCAGAGGCUCCAAACAGAUUUGAUCGGACCACUCGCAGAGGGAAAAAAAUUAAAAUAAUAUUAGGAAAAAAAAAACCCUUUUAGCUUGUCUCGUAGAGCCGGAGGCCUACCACUAUAGCUAAUCCGACCCUGAAUGAAAAAUCCAUCUUUGAUACAUUUUGGACGGAAGAAACAUUAUCUAGAGAUUCAUUUGCUGACAAAGACAGGAAACAGAAAAAUGAAAGAAUGGAAAGAAAUGUAACUUCAAUUUUUAAAUUGCAUUUUAGGUAAAUUUUAAAAAAGCUCCGGAUGAAGCUCAAUUUUUUUUCUUAACAAUAUGGAUAUAUUUUAACAGCAGGAUCAAAAUAAUUGUUCAUUGCUUAUAAUCACAGGCAGAUAUUGUUCUAAUUUUAUUCAGUUCUCAAAUAUGGACAUGGGAGAAAUUCAGAGGUGUUUUUCAACUUAGCAUAAUUCAGGAAUUUGGUGUUUCCAACUUAAUAGGAAUAUACUGCUUUGAAAUUAUGCCACUCACAGUUUUCGAAUUUUCGAUUGACAUCGGUUUAUUAUUCUCGCUUGUUUAAAAAGAAUUUAUGCUACUUUUUGGAACCUAUCCAAUAAUCCAUGUAUUCGAUACAGUUUUUUUUAAAAAACGGAAAAAACCAUCGAGUUAGAAGACAGUUCCCCUCUCCCCAUAUCGUCGGAGCAUACAAAAUGAAUAAAAAGUUAUAGAUAACAGUUAGUCUUAUUUUUAGAAAGUCAAUCCAAUAAAAAAGUUUUGCACUUGGUGCAAAACUGAGUGUUGUUGGAAUCAAAUUAUUAAAGUUCUCAUUAAUAAACUGUUGUCUCUUAGGCAUUUUUCAGCAAAUUUCCGAGAUGAAUUUUACCACGUCAAGUAGAAAGGAACCAAGCCACAUCAGCUAUUGUCAAAUUUAAUUGGGCAAUUUGAUUUUUUCCAUGAAAACGGUUGUGCGGAUUCUUUUUAUAGAUUUUAGUGUAUUUUCUGUUUGGUAGUAAGCAAAUUCCUAAAUAAUUUUGAAAAUGUCUGCACAAACGUGUUCUCGUAAAAAUUUAAAUUUCUCCGUUAAAUUUGGCAGUAGCUGAUGUUGCUUUGUUCCUUUCCCCUAAACGAGGUCCAAUUAGUUCAAAACUAAAAAUCGCCCCUUUCGCACUUUUUAAGAAGACUCCAUAGUUACAUUUUAGAUUGGAGUCACGGCAGAAACCUUUUAAACAUUGUCAUAAUAUUACAUCUAAUGUAGCACCAAAAAGCAAGAGCAAAAGAAUCACAAAUCAUGAUUACCGAAAUUCCUAGAAUUCCGAGGGCACUAAGUAAGUGCCCAAGCGGAAUGCAAGUCUCACAUUCAAUGUUUCAUUUAUUGCUCGAGCGUUUUCCUUGUGAACGGUGGCGAGGCGUAAAUGAUCGAUAAUCGAUAUUUCCCCAUUUGAGGUUAUGGUAAAGAAUCGAUCAUUAAGGUGUUCGUUGCGAACACCCUGUUUAUCGAUCCUUUUCCAUGGGUUUAAAUGACAGAUCAUUCGAUAUCUCGCAAAGCACGCCACGCCGCUGCGCGUGAACUGUCUUUUCAUUUUAUAAACAAGCACGGUUCUAUAAUAAGCAUGUAUACAAGUAUAUAAAGCUAAUUGAAAGCUCGUUUGCAAUAUCACAAAUAAUCCGGAUCGUGGAUUUAAAAAAAGAUGCAGCAAGUCAAUCAAAGUCAACGCGGUAUCAUUUGUACAUCUGGGCGGGAGGGGGUGGCUGCGAUUUCAGUUCCUGUUUCGCCUGUUGACGAUCGAGGAUACCUUGCACGCUGUGCUUGAUUCCGUAGGUGAAGUAAAUGACAAAACCUGAAAAGUGAUGGAAACAUUAGAAGAGAAAGAAUAAUAAUUGUUGCAGUUUUGCAUGAAUGCCGUUUGUUACUUUUUACAAACCGUGUAUCGCAGGCAAUCACAGCGGUCUUGAAACAAAACAAAAUGCGACAAAAAUGUACCCAAAAACGGUUUUCUGGGGGUGACUCCGGUGCGUGAGACCUUAGAAUCGUGCAAAAUCAAAAUCUUGGCUGGUCCUAAUUACGGGAUACCGCAAUUUGAAAUUUUCAUAGUGAAUGCAUGUUUACUUCUGACUUUGAUCAGCUUUUUUAUUUAUUUGUCCUUGGAAUCUGUGUUGAUCGGUUCACGUUUUUAUUCUUCGUUCGAUUCAUUUCAAUCGAAUACAUACCCAUUCGUCACACGCAGACUUCCUACCAUACCCUUUUCCUUAACGGAACCAUUUGCCUUCUAC